Molecule: ribosomal RNA, 378 nt
Filed under: Acanthamoeba sp.
Lineage: Eukaryota; Discosea; Longamoebia; Acanthamoebidae
Description: SSU rRNA
Rfam family: Eukaryotic small subunit ribosomal RNA
Source: RNAcentral
GCAGGCAGAUCCAAUUUUCUGCCACCGAAUACAUUAGCAUGGGAUAAUGGAAUAGGACCCUGUCCUCCUAUUUUCAGUUGGUUUUGGCAGCGCGAGGACUAGGGUAAUGAUUAAUAGGGAUAGUUGGGGGCAUUAAUAUUUAAUUGUCAGAGGUGAAAUUCUUGGAUUUAUGAAAGAUUAACUUCUGCGAAAGCAUCUGCCAAGGAUGUUUUCAUUAAUCAAGAACGAAAGUUAGGGGAUCGAAGACGAUCAGAUACCGUCGUAGUCUUAACCAUAAACGAUGCCGACCAGCGAUUAGGAGACGUUGAAUACAAAACACCACCAUCGGUUGCGGUCGUCCUUGGCGUCUCGGUUUCGGCCGGGGCGCGGGGAUGGCUA